Molecule: long non-coding RNA, 428 nt
Organism: Mytilus californianus (California mussel)
Lineage: Eukaryota; Metazoa; Mollusca; Bivalvia; Mytilida; Mytilidae
Exons: 3
Source: RefSeq, a predicted model, not a curated record
UCAUCAUCUAUACAGUUAAAUUAUGUAUUUGUCUUAACUCAUAGUUAAGGGGAUAACCAAAAUCUCUAUUUUUGCUUUCUUUUCUAAGGGAUCUAUGUAUGUACAAUAAAGUUAGUUAAAUGUGCUAACAAGAAAAUACCCCAAUUGUGACCAGGCAUUUUGCAGCCAUAUUUUCUGCUGUUGAUAUGAAAGUGAAGAAGGAGCAACACUUUCUUGGGAGAGGGUAUUAUGGAAAUGAUGUAUUUAGACCUCUUUGGAGACCAUGUGACAUUACCUUUCAGUCACCUAAUGACAGAAGAACUAACCAAGAUCAGUUUUCUCUACACAUCCAAGUUUAUUAAAAGACACCUGAUGAAUGAAGAAACAAAGAGACCUGUAAAUGUUAACACAGCAAGAAGAGUGGAAAUUGGAAAGUGUCUUAUAUAUUC